Long non-coding RNA from Oncorhynchus tshawytscha (Chinook salmon), 1382 nucleotides. Lineage: Eukaryota; Metazoa; Chordata; Actinopteri; Salmoniformes; Salmonidae. The record is from Ensembl.
UGGUAAACAGGAACAUUUAUUUCAGGUUUAACAUAAAGAACCAUGCUGUCUCUCUCAACACAUUAUCAAUAUUAUAUAGAGGCCCAAAUGAUACCUUAUUCCCUAUAUAGUGCACUUGAAUAGACCAGAGCCCAAUUUCCUAUAUAGUGCACUACAUUAGACCAGAGCCCUAUUCCCGAUAUAGUGCACUUCUAUAGACUAGAGCCCUAUUCCCGAUAUAGUGCACUACAUUAGACCAGAGCCCUAUUCCCGAUAUAGUGCACUACUUUGGGCUCUGGUCAUAAAGUAGAACAACAUAUUCAACUUCUGUGUCUCUUUCUUUUCUCCACAACCCCAGACUGUUUCCAUCUUCAGUCAGAAUGUAUUUUCCUCAAAUUUAUAGACACACCAACUGUCCCAGAUACAGGCUCUCUCUCUAUAUAUAUAGAUAUAGUCCAUCAGUCCUCCUCCUCUCUCUAGAGAUAUAGACCAUCAGUCCUCCUUCUCCUCCUCUCUCUCUACAGAUAUAGUCCAUCAGUCCUCCUCCUCUCUCUAGAGAUAUAGUUCAUCAGUCCUCCUUCUCCUCCUCUCUCUCUCUACAGAUAUAGUCCAUCAGUGCUCCUUCUCCUCCCCUCUCUCUCUCUAGAGAUAUAGUCCAUCAGUCCUCCUUCUCCUCCUCUCUCUCUCUAGAGAUAUAGUCCAUCAGUCCUCCUUCUCCUCCUCCAUCUUUAGAGAUAUAGUCCAUCAGUGCUCCUUCUCCUCCUCUCUUUGUAUAGAGAUAAAGUCCAUCAGUCCACCUUCUCCUCCUCUCUCUCUCUAGAGAUAAAGUCCAUCAGUCCUCCUUCUCCUGCUCUCUCUAGAGAUAAAGUCCAUCAGUCCACCUUCUCCUCCUCUCUCUCUCUAGAGAUAUAGUCCAUCAGUCCUCCUUCUCCUCCUCCAUCUUUAGAGAUAUAGUCCAUCAGUCCUCCUUCUCCUCUCUCUCUCUAGAGAUAUAGUCCAUCAGUGCUCCUUCUCCUCCUCUCUUUGUAUAGAGAUAUAGUCCAUCAGUCCUCCUUCUCCUCCUUUCUCUCUAGAGAUAAAGUCCAUCAGUCCUCCUUCUCCUGCUCUCUCUAGAGUUAAAGUCCAUCAGUCCACCUUCUCCUCCUCUCUCUCUCUAGAGAUAUAGUCCAUCAGUGCUCCUUCUCCUCCUCUCUCUCUCUCUAGAGAUAUAGUCCAUCAGUCCUCCUUCUCCUGCUCUCUCUAGAGAUAAAGUCCAUCAGUCCUCCUUCUCAUCCUCUCUCUCUAUAGAUAGAGUCCAUCAGUCCUCCUUCUCCUCCUCCUCUCCUCUUCUUCCCCCUCUUCCUCUCAAGAUAUAGUCGUCAGUCUCUCACCCACUCCCCUCCCACUCCUCCUCCUCCUCUUCC